Molecule: small nuclear RNA, 121 nt
Organism: Temnothorax curvispinosus
Lineage: Eukaryota; Metazoa; Arthropoda; Insecta; Hymenoptera; Formicidae
Product: U5 spliceosomal RNA
Exons: 1
Source: RefSeq, a predicted model, not a curated record
UGACUCUGGUUUCCCUUCAAUACACGAAUAAAUCUUGAAACCUUUUACUAAAGAUUUCCGUGGAGGGGAACAAUUGAUGAGUCUAUAAUAAUUUUUUUGGUAGCGUCAAAGAAAUGGAGAA